This 59-nucleotide microRNA precursor is filed under the name Ornithorhynchus anatinus (platypus). Its description in RNAcentral is "Oan-Mir-499_pre stem-loop". It matches the Rfam family "mir-499 microRNA precursor family", at positions 14 to 80 of the family's 80-position model. Lineage: Eukaryota; Metazoa; Chordata; Mammalia; Monotremata; Ornithorhynchidae. The record is from RNAcentral.
UUAAGACUUGUAGUGAUGUUUAGCUCAUCUCCACGUGAACAUCACUGCAAGUCUGUGCU